GGAAUGGGCGCCAGGCCUCGAUCUUGCACCUCGUUCCCGCCUUCGAGUCCACAGGCAGAAGAGCGACAGUGAGCAAGGACGUUCAGACCGACAGCAGGUUCUUGGGGACAGCAGUGUCGGCAUCAGGAGGAGGCAGGCCUUAGAGAGGUGGUCAGGUCACGAGGCAGGAGCCCUCGUGAAUGGGAUUAGUGCCCUUCUACAUGAGGGCCAAGAGACCCCUCACCUCCUCCACUGUGCGAGGACACAGUGAGGGGACAGCCGUCAUGAACCAGGAUGUGCGUCCUCACCAGACGUCAAAUCAGCCGGUGCCUACUUAUCAAACUUCCGGAACUGUGAGCGAUAACUUUGUAAGCUACCCAGCCUCUGGUAUUUUGUUAUAGUCCAAGCAGGCCAGACGGACACUUGUGGAUGAGGACAGCCAGCCACCCCACAGGAGGCCACCUCCCUCCUGCCUGGGGAUUUGCUUCCUCUUGACAUCAGUUCCCUGAAACCCUGCAUUUCCCGUCAACUAGAAGCUAACUGUGAGGAGUUGAUCAGAUGCUGUGCCAACGCUCUUGGCAAGAAAAGUUCCCAGAGGUGAUGAGUUCCUCUGACUCUAUCAUGUCAUGUAGGAUUUCUAUUGUUUUAAAGCAAAACAAUGGAGUAAGACAGGAAGAAAACCUAGCCCCAUUCAGGGAAGAGGAGCUUGGUCAGAUUCCAGUUGGUCUGGAAUUUAUUAUCCAUUACUGUAGUUCCAGAAACCCGACCAGUUGGAGACCCCCUUGGGGUGAAUACAUCCUCCUUUACAAAAGGCAAAGACUUCUCGGAACCUUGGGACUCUGGCAACCACUCACACCUUAGUGUGAACAAGCCCCGUCACCUCCUUUUCUUCCUAGGUACCUAAUUAAAAUGAGCAUAUCUGAGGAGAGGUCCUGGUGGUCCUCUGUGGCGUGCCACAAGGAAGACAAUACCAGGCAGCAUGAGAGCCCGGGGUCUGGAGAACGGGCCUUGGUAGUGACAGGCUCGGGUGACUGCAAGAGAGACCAGAUCACGUGGGGUCUGGCAGCAGGAAGAAGGACGGUAGAUGGUGGCUGGGAGUGGGACCAGUCCCAGUGAUGGGCUCUCAGGGCAGAAGAGAGUCCCAGACCCUCUUAGAGAGGCCUCCCCCGAGAACAAGGCACACACAACGUGAGCAUUCGCUGCACACUUGGAAAUAAGGGAAAGGAAACGUGAGCCUCUAAUCAAACCACCUGCUGAAGUCCCUGAAAUUUGAUCUUGGCAUGGUUCGCUAAGGACAGCGAAGGGGACAUCCUUGUCCCGCUCCUUCCUUCUUCCCACCUACAGAUCCCUCCCAGCAGUGGUAGAGCUCAUCUAUGGGCGGGUCCUCUGUGGGCCAGCCUGGCCCUAACAACCAUGGGCAAUGUUAUUUUUUUGAAAUAAUGGAUUCCAAGUUCCUGCGUAUAAGUGUUGGCUGAUCCCGAGUCCUCCCUGUGGAAAUGGGCAAGAAGGGAUUUUGCGUGGUCAUUCCACCAUCUGCAAGGUGCAGUUUGAGGAAUCGGGGACAUGACGGUCAACCAGACAGACGAGGUCCUUCUCUUAGUGGGAGAAGUAAAAGGAAGAUGGCGGCCAAGAUGUCAAACCAGACGUGCAUCUGAGCACUUCUGGGAUGGACCUGUGAGUUCAAGAUGGUCUGCUUCCUAUUCUAGGACAUUCUUACGUCCCCAUCAACCUUCUCCCCACCUGCUAAGUUCGGGUCCCUCCCAAGGUUCCGUGAUUCCCUUGUAUUCUUCUUCAAGAUGUUUUGGUGAGAAACUGGGUGGCUUCUGAGCCCACCCACAAGCUCACGCUCUGGAGCCGUGGACCAGCCUGCAGGGAAACGUCCUAAAGCCCGCGGAGUCCACCGUCUCAUUAGGUGACAAGAGUGACAUUCAGAGAGGGUUGGUGGCUUGGCCGAGACAACCCUGUUAGUGUAAGGGCUGGACGUAAAUCCAUGGUGACUGCUUCCAAACACCACGUCCUUCUGAGACGCUCACACGUCCCCUCCAAGUCCAUUUUACAGAUAAGGAAACUGAGGUUCAUCUGCCCAUGCAUGGCCCUAAGCUGCUCGGCAUCUUUAUGGUAGAGCGUGGGCCCAGCUGAAUUUCCAGUGCCACUUUUUUGUGGCGUGAUUUUUGGUCGGUAAUUGUGGGCUCCAGGUGCUGCUCAAGUUGAAGUCGCUCACCCUGGGCCUCCUGGUGUCCGGCCCAAGACUCGCUACCCUUCUCCGUGAAGGUGCCAUGAUGACUGCCUGAGGAGGCUGCCUUCCAGGGUGCAGGCUCCAGGGACCCACCCUGUCCUCCAUCGACAUGGCUCCAGGGACGGGGACAUCUACACUCCAAGAAGAGGACGCUGGGUGGGGGUCCAGUGCCAGCCCUGUCUGUCUCCCCCUCCACGAACACCUUCAGGGGUUCCACGUUGCCAACCAAAUGACGGCAAGCCCCUCACCCUGGUGUCCAAGGCUGCCCCGGGAUGGCCGCACCUGUCCUCCCCGCCGUGCCCCUGGGUCUGGUCAGGCGGCGGUACUCUGCACCUUCUGUCCCUCCUCCCGCUACUCCCUGCCCACAAUUCUCCAUCACCUCUCCUCUGCAGGAUUUCCAUCCCUCCAAGUGAAGUUCGGGUUCAACAUCCCCGGAGGUGCCUUCCGUGACCGUUCCGGCUGGACAAGACCUCUUCCUCGACCUCCUGGCAUUGGUCAGGGACAUUUUUGAUAACAAGCCACAGAAAUUCAGCUCAUAGCGUCAACACCUAAAGGGGAAUGAUCGACCCAUGUCAUUGGGCAACCCGGGCAUGGACCAGGUCACCUGACCCGUCCAUGGUCUCUCUGGGGACCGCCCUCACCCUUCCCUACUGUGGAUGGAGUGCACUGCGGUGGGAGGGCGAGGAAGGGGAGAAGGAAGUCAGUCAAGUUUGGCUGCAGCCUGGUGCAAACCCAGCUUCAUGGGCAUCUGCCCUGGUGGGAGGGAUGAACCUGCCUGGUGUGGCAUGGUGUGUGCCCUCCCAGAGCCGUCGCUGAGCCAGGAGAAGGGGGCACUGUUCUUGGUCAGCAGGCGUCAUGAAAUGACCUCAUGGGCGGGAAACAUGGGCUGUGAUUGGCACCUGGCCAGUGAUGUGGUGGUGAUGGGGGAGCAGCCAAGGAAGGGGAGUGUGGCAGACGAAAGCAAGUGUCUGUCCUGCUACUCGAUCUUGUGACGUGCGUGUUUUGUGUCUGUAACUCUCUUUGCACGAGACCAUGAGCAUCUGACUCACUGGACUUGACUUCCCUGGGGACAAGGGACUGUCUCAUUUCUAUCUGCAGCCCCCACCUGGCAUGGGGUCUGGCCAGCCUUUCUAGUUGUGCAUAGAAUCAUUUUCCUCUGGCAUUGACCUUCCAAAUUACUCCUGGGGGGGAGAAGAGAGAUCGGGGAGAAGCGAGUUCUUCACCCGGUCCCUGGAGUUCUGAGAUCCCUCCCGAGGACAGAGAACCAUCAGGACACUGUGUCUUCCUACACCUGCCUUUAUUUGUUUCCCAUAUAUUGAGAUUUCUUGUAGAAAAUAACCCAAAGAAUGUUUUCUGUAGCUUUUAAGAGUUAGAAUACCCCUGGGCUAGGGGAGGGAGCCCCACAACCAUGGGUUCUUUGAGCAGUUUGUCAUUCAAGGGAGCCAUGGUCAAAUGAGUUAGGGACAUUUUGCUGGCUCCAGCCCCUUCUAGGAGAUGAAGAAGGUACUCGAGCCUUUUAAAUGCUCUGAGAAGUCCUGUGGACAACACCUGCUUGAAGAUGUUUGACUCCCUGAUUCCCAAAAUGGCUCCACCAUAAAUCUUUUUGCUAUUAAGUACGAUUAACACCCUGAAGAACCAAUGUUCCGAGGGGCCCAGACUGUAAACCCCUAGACAGGGACCGCUGGCCCCUUCCAGCCCUGUUGGUAUUGGAACUACAUGGAAAAUGGCUGAGGGACAGGGUUAGGCCCCAGGCAGGAGGACUGCAAUCACGGAGCAGGUGACUUUUCUACAGUGGGUCCCAGACACUCAACCUGCUGUGGAAGGUGUGAAUUGGGCUGAUUUUUUAUUUUAUUCUAUUUUAUUUGUCAGGGAUUAAACCCAGAGGUGCUUACCCCCUGAGCCCAAUCCCCAGCCCUUUUUGUGUCUUAUUGAGAGACAGGGUCUCACUGAGUUGCUUAGCACCUCGCUUUUGCUGAGGCUGGCUUUGAACUCUCAGUCCUCCUGCCUCAGCCUCCUGAGCUGCUGGGAUGACAGGUGUGCGCCACCAGCAGUGCCCGAUUUUUUACAUCAUAUUAGCAACAGGUGUCUAAAAUCCUAAAACGGUGUGCAUCCUUUGCCCGCCCGGCAGUGCUAUUUCUAAACUUUAUCUGAAGGAAAUUGUGACACAGAUACCCAGAAAGAAUGGACAGAGACAUUCCUCAAGUCUUGAUCAUUAUCCUGAAAACUGAAAACCAUCUUGGUCUGAAAAAAAAAAAUGGGGGGGGCACCCCUGCCAUGGAAGUGAGGGUCCAUUAACUACAACAUGGUAUAGCGAGGGAGACUGGGGACGCAGACUGGGCAGGAAGCAGGCCACACAAUAGGACCUAGAGCUUUGGAAGUAGAGUCGAUUCCAUUUUUAUUCCCAUAAGAUCUCUGUUAGGGCUCCCCAGAGGAGUCAGGCCGAAUGACCGCUUUGCAACUUUUAAUUCAAUUGUAAGUUGAUACUUUUGCGAAACAUAAUAAAAAUGUGGAGGCCAGAUCAAA
Long non-coding RNA from Marmota monax (woodchuck), 4738 nucleotides. RefSeq lists it as uncharacterized. The record is from RefSeq and is a predicted model, not a curated record. The transcript has 2 exons. Lineage: Eukaryota; Metazoa; Chordata; Mammalia; Rodentia; Sciuridae.